This 451-nucleotide ribosomal RNA is filed under the name uncultured bacterium. RNAcentral's name for it is "partial 16S ribosomal RNA". It matches the Rfam family "Bacterial small subunit ribosomal RNA", at positions 29 to 523 of the family's 1533-position model. The record is from RNAcentral.
AGCGAACGCUGGCGGCAGGCUUAACACAUGCAAGUCGAGCGGGCACCUUCGGGUGUCAGCGGCAGACGGGUGAGUAACACGAGGGAACGUGCCCUUCGGUUCGGAAUAACUCAGGGAAACUUGAGCUAAUACCGGAUACGCGCUCUUGGGGCAAGGUUUACUGCCGGAGGAUCGGACCGCGUCUGAUUAGCUAGUUGGGGGGGUACCGGCCUACAAAGGCGACGAUCAGUAGCUGGUCUGAGAGGAUGAUCAGCCACACUGGGACUGAGACACGGCCCAGACUCCUACGGGAGGCAGCAGUGGGGAAUAUUGGACAAUGGGCGCAAGCCUGAUCCAGCCAUGCCGCGUGAGUGAUGAAGGCCUUAGGGUUGUAAAGCUCUUUUGUCCGGGACGAUAAUGACGGUACCGGAAGAAUAAGCCCCGGCUAACUUCGUGCCAGCAGCCGCCGUAA